RNAcentral lists this ribosomal RNA (517 nucleotides) under uncultured bacterium. RNAcentral describes it as "bacterial SSU rRNA". It matches the Rfam family "Bacterial small subunit ribosomal RNA", at positions 992 to 1509 of the family's 1533-position model. The record is from RNAcentral.
AGAACUUAGCAGAGAUGCUUUGGUGCCUUCGGGAACUCUGAGACAGGUGCUGCAUGGCUGUCGUCAGCUCGUGUUGUGAAAUGUUGGGUUAAGUCCCGCAACGAGCGCAACCCUUAUCCUUUGUUGCCAGCGGUCCGGCCGGGAACUCAAAGGAGACUGCCAGUGAUAAACUGGAGGAAGGUGGGGAUGACGUCAAGUCAUCAUGGCCCUUACGAGUAGGGCUACACACGUGCUACAAUGGCGCAUACAAAGAGAAGCGACCUCGCGAGAGCAAGCGGACCUCAUAAAGUGCGUCGUAGUCCGGAUUGGAGUCUGCAACUCGACUCCAUGAAGUCGGAAUCGCUAGUAAUCGUGGAUCAGAAUGCCACGGUGAAUACGUUCCCGGGCCUUGUACACACCGCCCGUCACGCCAUGGGAGUGGGUUGCAAAAGAAGUAGGUAGCUUAACCUUCGGGAGGGCGCUUACCACUUUGUGAUUCAUGACUGGGGUGAAGUCGUAACAAGGUAGGCGUAGUGCU